RNAcentral lists this ribosomal RNA (253 nucleotides) under uncultured bacterium. Its description in RNAcentral is "partial 16S ribosomal RNA". It matches the Rfam family "Bacterial small subunit ribosomal RNA", at positions 524 to 776 of the family's 1533-position model. The record is from RNAcentral.
UACGGAGGGCGCAAGCGUUAUCCGGAUUCACUGGGUUUAAAGGGUGCGUAGGCGGGCAGGUAAGUCAGUGGUGAAAUCCUGGAGCUUAACUCCAGAACUGCCAUUGAUACUAUCUGUCUUGAAUAUUGUGGAGGUAAGCGGAAUAUGUCAUGUAGCGGUGAAAUGCUUAGAUAUGACAUAGAACACCUAUUGCGAAGGCAGCUUACUGCGCAUAUAUUGACGCUGAGGCACGAAAGCGUGGGGAUCAAACAGG